UUAAGACAGUGCUUACCUCAACAACGUCUUUGAAAGUAGACAUUCUAAGACGUUGCUGAUAUAAGCACCGUCUUAAAAUGCGUACUUUCAAAGACGUUGCUGAUGUAAGCACCGUUUUU
This 119-nucleotide microRNA precursor is filed under the name Glycine max (soybean). Its description in RNAcentral is "miR4344 stem-loop (gma-MIR4344)". It matches the Rfam family "MIR4374 microRNA precursor family". Lineage: Eukaryota; Viridiplantae; Streptophyta; Magnoliopsida; Fabales; Fabaceae. The record is from miRBase by way of RNAcentral. RNAcentral also lists the same sequence under 1 other name.